UACGGGGGGGGCAAGCGUUGUUCGGAAUUACUGGGCGUAAAGGGCUCGUAGGCGGCCAACUAAGUCAGACGUGAAAUCCCUCGGCUUAACCGGGGAACUGCGUCUGAUACUGGAUGGCUAGAGUUUGGGAGAGGGAUGCGGAAUUCCAGGUGUAGCGGUGAAAUGCGUAGAUAUCUGGAGGAACACCUGUGGCGAAAGCGGCUCACUGGACCGCAACUGACGCUGAGGCGCGAAAGCUAGGGGAGCAAACAGG
RNAcentral lists this ribosomal RNA (253 nucleotides) under uncultured bacterium. Its description in RNAcentral is "partial 16S ribosomal RNA". It matches the Rfam family "Bacterial small subunit ribosomal RNA", at positions 524 to 776 of the family's 1533-position model. The record is from RNAcentral.